GGCUGUAGCUUAGUGGCAGAGCGCUUGCCUAGCAUGCAUGAGGCACUGGGUUCAAUCUCAGCACCA
This 66-nucleotide transfer RNA is filed under the name Marmota monax (woodchuck). RNAcentral's name for it is "tRNA.Ala". It matches the Rfam family "tRNA", at positions 6 to 65 of the family's 71-position model. From Rfam's summary of the family: Transfer RNA (tRNA) molecules are approximately 80 nucleotides in length. Their secondary structure includes four short double-helical elements and three loops (D, anti-codon, and T loops). Lineage: Eukaryota; Metazoa; Chordata; Mammalia; Rodentia; Sciuridae. The record is from RNAcentral.